This 886-nucleotide ribosomal RNA is filed under the name Acinetobacter baumannii. RNAcentral describes it as "partial 23S ribosomal RNA". It matches the Rfam family "Bacterial large subunit ribosomal RNA", at positions 1 to 855 of the family's 2925-position model. Lineage: Bacteria; Pseudomonadati; Pseudomonadota; Gammaproteobacteria; Moraxellales; Moraxellaceae. The record is from RNAcentral.
UGAAGUGUUUAUGGGCGCAUGGUGGAUGCCUUGGCAUCAGGAGCCGAUGAAGGACGUGGUGGCCUGCGAUAAGCCUCGGGGAGUUGGCGAACGAGCGUUGAUCCGAGGGUGUCCGAAUGGGGAAACCCGGCCGUCGUUAUGGGCGGUCGCCGCCAGAUGAAUUCAUAGUCUGGUUGGUGGUUACGCGGGGAAGUGAAACAUCUCAGUACCCGUAGGAAGAGAAAACAAUUGUGAUUCCGUUAGUAGUGGCGAGCGAACGCGGAUGUUGGCUAAACUGCAUGCGUGUGAUACCCGGCAGGGGUUGCGUGUGUGGGGUUGUGGGAUGCGACUGUUCUGGUGCUGCCGUGCCGGUCAUGAUUAAUCGUGUGUUAGGGGAAGUGGUGUGGAAUCGCCUGCCGUAGACGGUGAGAGCCCGGUACCUGAAAAUGUGUGGUUGUAUUCCCGAGUAGCAGCGGGCCCGUGAAAUCUGCUGUGAAUCUGCCGGGACCACCCGGUAAGCCUGAAUACUACCUGUUGACCGAUAGCGGAUUAGUACCGUGAGGGAAUGGUGAAAAGUACCCCGGGAGGGGAGUGAAAUAGUUCCUGAAACCGUGCGCUUACAAGCCGUCAGAGCACUUCUUAUGUGUGAUGGCGUGCCUUUUGAAGAAUGAGCCUGCGAGUCAUGGUGUGUGGCGAGGUUAACCCGUGUGGGGGAGCCGUAGGGAAACCGAGUCUGAAGAGGGCGUUGGAGUCGCAUGCUGUGGACCCGAAGCGGAGUGAUCUACCCAUGUCCAGGGUGAAGCGGGGGUAAGACCUCGUGGAGGCCCGAACCCACCAGGGUUGAAAACCUGGGGGAUGAGGUGUGGGUAGGGGUGAAAGGCCAAUCAAACUCCGUGAUAGCUGGUUC